Molecule: ribosomal RNA, 463 nt
Filed under: uncultured bacterium
Lineage: Bacteria
Description: partial 16S ribosomal RNA
Rfam family: Bacterial small subunit ribosomal RNA
Source: RNAcentral
AGUGAACGCUGGCGGCGUGCUUAAUACAUGCAAGUCGAACGAUGAAGUCCUAGCUUGCUAGGAUGGAUUAGUGGCGCACGGGUGAGUAAUAUAUAGUUAAUCUGCCUUGCACUGAGGAACAACAGUUGGAAACGAUUGCUAAUACCUCAUACUCCAACUUUACAUAAGUUAAGUUGGGAAAGUCUUUUCGGUGCAAGAUGAGACUAUAUCGUAUCAGCUAGUUGGUAAGGUAAUGGCUUACCAAGGCUAUGACGCGUAACUGGUCUGAGAGGAUGAUCAGUCACAUUGGAACUGAGACACGGUCCAAACUCCUACGGGAGACAGCAGUAAGGAAUAUUGUGCAAUGGGGCAAACCCUGACGCAGCAACGCCGCGUGGAGGAUGACACUUUUCGGAGCGUAAACUCCUUUUGUUAGGGAAGAAUAAUGACGGUACCUAACGAAUAAGCACCGGCUAACUCCGUG